GUUUGAUCCUGGCUCAGAACGAACGCUGGCGGCAUGCCUAACACAUGCAAGUCGAACGAAGGCUUCGGCCUUAGUGGCGCACGGGUGCGUAACGCGUGGGAACCUGCCCCUCGGUUCGGAAUAACAGUUAGAAAUAGACUGCUAAUACCGAAUGAUGACUUCGGUCCAAAGAUUUAUCGCCGAGGGAUGGGCCCGCGUAGGAUUAGCUAGUUGGUGGGGUAAAGGCCUACCAAGGCGACGAUCCUUAGCUGGUCUGAGAGGAUGAUCAGCCACACUGGGACUGAGACACGGCCCAGACUCCUACGGGAGGCAGCAGUGGGGAAUAUUGGACAAUGGGCGAAAGCCUGAUCCAGCAAUGCCGCGUGAGUGAUGAAGGCCUUAGGGUUGUAAAGCUCUUUUACCAGGGAUGAUAAUGACAGUACCUGGAGAAUAAGCUCCGGCUAACUCCGUG
This 451-nucleotide ribosomal RNA is filed under the name uncultured bacterium. RNAcentral describes it as "bacterial SSU rRNA". It matches the Rfam family "Bacterial small subunit ribosomal RNA", at positions 11 to 507 of the family's 1533-position model. The record is from RNAcentral.